GAUGAACGCUGGCGGCGUGCUUAACACAUGCAAGUCGAACGAGAAUCAACGGAUUGAGGAUUCGUCCAAAUGAAGUUGAGGAAAGUGGCGGACGGGUGAGUAACGCGUGAGGAACCUGCCUCGGAGUGGGGAAUAACAGUUGGAAACGACUGCUAAUACCGCAUGAUACUUUUUGGGGGCAUCCCUAAAAAGUCAAAGCUUUAUGUGCUGAAAGAUGGUCUCGCGUCUGAUUAGCUAGUUGGUGAGGUAAUGGCUCACCAAGGCGACGAUCAGUAGCCGGUCUGAGAGGAUGAACGGCCACAUUGGGACUGAGAUACGGCCCAG
Molecule: ribosomal RNA, 324 nt
Filed under: uncultured bacterium
Lineage: Bacteria
Description: bacterial SSU rRNA
Rfam family: Bacterial small subunit ribosomal RNA
Source: RNAcentral